This 1478-nucleotide ribosomal RNA is filed under the name Lactiplantibacillus plantarum. RNAcentral describes it as "bacterial SSU rRNA". It matches the Rfam family "Bacterial small subunit ribosomal RNA". The record is from RNAcentral. Lineage: Bacteria; Bacillati; Bacillota; Bacilli; Lactobacillales; Lactobacillaceae.
GGGAAGGUGGCGGCGUGCUAUACAUGCAAGUCGAACGAACUCUGGUAUUGAUUGAGUGCUUGCAUCAUGAUUUACAUUUGAGUGAGUGGCGAACUGGUGAGUAACACGUGGGAAACCUGCCCAGAAGCGGGGGAUAACACCUGGAAACAGAUGCUAAUACCGCAUAACAACUUGGACCGCAUGGUCCGAGUUUGAAAGAUGGCUUCGGCUAUCACUUUUGGAUGGUCCCGCGGCGUAUUAGCUAGAUGGUGGGGUAACGGCUCACCAUGGCAAUGAUACGUAGCCGACCUGAGAGGGUAAUCGGCCACAUUGGGACUGAGACACGGCCCAAACUCCUACGGGAGGCAGCAGUAGGGAAUCUUCCACAAUGGACGAAAGUCUGAUGGAGCAACGCCGCGUGAGUGAAGAAGGGUUUCGGCUCGUAAAACUCUGUUGUUAAAGAAGAACAUAUCUGAGAGUAACUGUUCAGGUAUUGACGGUAUUUAACCAGAAAGCCACGGCUAACUACGUGCCAGCAGCCGCGGUAAUACGUAGGUGGCAAGCGUUGUCCGGAUUUAUUGGGCGUAAAGCGAGCGCAGGCGGUUUUUUAAGUCUGAUGUGAAAGCCUUCGGCUCAACCGAAGAAGUGCAUCGGAAACUGGGAAACUUGAGUGCAGAAGAGGACAGUGGAACUCCAUGUGUAGCGGUGAAAUGCGUAGAUAUAUGGAAGAACACCAGUGGCGAAGGCGGCUGUCUGGUCUGUAACUGACGCUGAGGCUCGAAAGUAUGGGUAGCAAACAGGAUUAGAUACCCUGGUAGUCCAUACCGUAAACGAUGAAUGCUAAGUGUUGGAGGGUUUCCGCCCUUCAGUGCUGCAGCUAACGCAUUAAGCAUUCCGCCUGGGGAGUACGGCCGCAAGGCUGAAACUCAAAGGAAUUGACGGGGGCCCGCACAAGCGGUGGAGCAUGUGGUUUAAUUCGAAGCUACGCGAAGAACCUUACCAGGUCUUGACAUACUAUGCAAAUCUAAGAGAUUAGACGUUCCCUUCGGGGACAUGGAUACAGGUGGUGCAUGGUUGUCGUCAGCUCGUGUCGUGAGAUGUUGGGUUAAGUCCCGCAACGAGCGCAACCCUUAUUAUCAGUUGCCAGCAUUAAGUUGGGCACUCUGGUGAGACUGCCGGUGACAAACCGGAGGAAGGUGGGGAUGACGUCAAAUCAUCAUGCCCCUUAUGACCUGGGCUACACACGUGCUACAAUGGAUGGUACAACGAGUUGCGAACUCGCGAGAGUAAGCUAAUCUCUUAAAGCCAUUCUCAGUUCGGAUUGUAGGCUGCAACUCGCCUACAUGAAGUCGGAAUCGCUAGUAAUCGCGGAUCAGCAUGCCGCGGUGAAUACGUUCCCGGGCCUUGUACACACCGCCCGUCACACCAUGAGAGUUUGUAACACCCAAAGUCGGUGGGGUAACCUUUUAGGAACCAGCCGCCUAAGGUGACAGAAGGGG